CUGGUGAUACACUAAUAGGAAGGAGGUUGGCACUCUGAGUUUGUGGUGGAGUUCAGGAACAAUGAUGUUGAACACUCAGCUGAAAUCCACAAACAGGAUCUGUGUAUAGGUCCCUGCGGUGUCGAGGUGUUGCAGUCCAGAGGUGUUUAAAGUCUUUUAAAUUGUGAGGUGUGGCCCUCAUGGAUCAGACUCUGUGUUCUAUUUGACUAAAAGUGGAGAAUUUGCAGGCCACGUCAACACAUUGAACCUUGGUCCGCAGUCCCGUUCUAAUGCUCACAUGUACCAUUGUAGGUACUUUUGGCCUUGGACAUGUGUCAGCCUGAGUCAUCUGUGGUGAUGCAGCCCCUUCAAAAACAAACAAGUGAAACUACAUGCUCUGUUUGUUCUGAGACCUUUCUGUCAGAACCACCAUGAACUUUUCCAGCCACUAAAGCUCCAGUAACUGUUUUUUGUUGAAUUACACAAAAAGAGCCAGUCAUCACUCAACACUUCAGUGAGCCUUGGCUCCUGACCCUCUCACCAGUUCUCUGGUUUUGCCUCCUUGGACAAGAGGUGCAGGUUUGGAGAUGGUCUGACCUCUGUCUAGGUGUCUCACAUUCAUAAACUUGUUUAACUUUUUAGCUUUUUUAUUCAUAGACAAAAUGGCUAGGGCUCAGCGGUAGAGUCUUUUAAUCUGAGGGUUGGGGGUUUGAUCCCAGGUUCUGCCGGUUCUUGUAUCAGUGUGCAACUAGUGAACAGUAAUGAGCACAUUGCUUAGCAGCCUCUGCCAUCGGUGUAUGAACGUAAGGUGAAUGGAUGAAUGUGACGUGUGAUGUAAAAGUGCCAUGAAAGCUCUGACUAGACUAAGAGAAACACUGUAUGAAUACAGUCCAUUUACUGUCCCAACCAGCCGACAAUGUAAACACCAUAGACUGUAUAUAGAAUGGACGCCGUCUGCCUCCUCGCUGGGUGAAGCCACUCCGAGAACAGCACCCUCUAAAGAUGGGCUGCAGUAUAGGUCAUAAAUCUCGCCUCCUUCAGCAAUCCAUAUGGAGCUGUGGACAAACUUUAUAGAUUCAUUACGCAGAAUAUCAUUUUUUUCUCCCCCCUGCUUGCGAUGUUGACAUGUAGUUACUGUAAGACUGGUUUGUGUUCAAGUUCUCUUUUUUUCUGUACAGCUCCAUUUUUAAAAGUUAUUGGGGGUUUCUAUGAUUGACACUUUAUACAGCCUAUGGGCUUACAAAGUUUACAUAGCUUACCCAGGGGAUACGCUGUUUGAGCCGAGCGUCAUCACAGCGACUCGCCUGCCGAAUACGUACAAUGCUACUGUGCAAGUGGUGAAAUGCGCACAACGCUUCUGCACCAGUGGUGGUUCCGGGAAGUUGAGAAAAUCCCGUAAAUACCGAGAGCAGUUCGGCUUCAAAUUCAUAUAAUGGCAGAAGGCAGAACCAAGUUGUCCAUACAGUCUGUGGUAAAUGCAGUAUCAGUGUUUCUGACUUCACCUGUCAGAGGUCUCAAUGUAAUUCCUGACAACCACAUAUGAGAAGUAGCUACUUUGUCAGGUCCAGUCAGUUAGAUGUCCAUAAUUUAAUUCAGAGGUGAGCUAUUAUUCAACAGUUUAAGUUCUAAUUCCUCAUUACAUAAUGAUAUCUUAUCCUUACUGGUUAUUUAAAAUAAUUUGCCCCUUGUUUAAUGUUUACGUCCAUGCCUUCAUUGAGAGGCUGGCACAGUGGGUAGAGCAGGAAAUAGGAAAAAAAGAGUGUGGAAUGAGGAUCACAGGUUUAAUUGAGCCAGCUGUACUCGCAUAUUUAUAUAUAUAUUUAUUUUAUUUAUAUUAAGGAGUACUUCCUCUAUAAAGAGAGCACAAUCAAUAGCUAAGCCAAUUUAGUGCCUCUGAAUAGAAUACAUUUUAAGUUUUGUUCAGUGUUUGGUCAAAUUAAAAUUUUUAAAGCGGUUGAAUUUGAAACAUUUUAAUUUGAACAUUCAUGUGCUGCGGAAUUUCUUUAAAAAAUAUUGAGAAAAAUAAAGUGGAUAAAAAUGAAAAAUGUACUUGUAGGAGCUUUUCCUGGUUUGUACAGCAGAGGGCAGUAAGACUCCAUGAUGAUGUUCGAUAUGUCACAGCAGGUUUAGAGGCUUAUAUCACAGUUGUUUGUAAGAGAAAUCCUCCACAAUUUUUCUUAUUUAUCUGAUAUCAAUAUUAAUAAUAUUUGAAAAACAUCACUGCAAUGCAAAAUCCUCUUUAUAUGAAAAUGAGAGAAUGUCAAACUCCACUGGGAUGUUUCAUGUGAGUGUGAAAAAACAUGACAGGAUUAGUGAGAUGAGUGUUGUGAUGAAUGUGACACGAACUGGCCAAUCCAUUUACAUAAUAACAUUUAAUAAGCUCAAAUAGAAGGUAGACAGCUGCUGAGAGAGGAGCUCUUCAAACUGCUACAGUCGCUGUGAGUCAUGAAAUAAUAAAAUCUGAUGCCCCUGAUGCAGCUGCCUCUGUUUGGAGAGCAGUUGUCAAUGCUGUUGAGUGACAUUGUAUUCUUUUGUUGUCUGUGAAGUUCAUUGAAAGUAUUCUGAGCGAGCCCUGCAGCUGAACAAAAUGAUGCAUCGGAUAAUCUGAUCUGUUGUUGCACCCUGCUGCAUGAAUUUGCAUAUUCAUGUAGAAAGUAAUUUACCUCAAGAGCUAAAAGCUUUAGAAAGAUGACGAAGGCCCUUUAUCUAACUCGGCUGAAUCAGUUUUACUUCCUCUCUAUUUCGUCAUGAGCAAUUAGGAGAGAUUCUACCAGAUGUGGCAACUCAUUAUGUCACAUUGUACUAAUGCAUCAACACACACUUGUUGCUAAUUGCUGUUUAUAAGGGAGCUUUCAGUGAAAUGUAAUACCAUCAGAUUUCUGCACAACUUCUUUGUUCCCUGCUGUGACGCAAGUUUUUUUUUUGUUUUUUUUAUGAUCAUUUCACGGAAAUCCAUCUGCUCUGUAAUGGACCAUACCAACAGGCAUGCAGGGUGGCCGUCAGGUACCUGAAAAUGCAGAAUUCUUACAAAAGGUCUUAUAGUUAAAGUAGAACGGGUUUAUACAGAGGAUCAAAAUAAAAAGGUCUAUUUAAAUCAUCAGCUGUCAGCUCUCCUGUGCAGUUCUCCCGUCUCUGAAGGUUAUGGUCCAGGUUGUAGUAAAGCUUGUUCAGGCAGAAGCUUUCAUGCACCUGAUCUCAGAGACAAAGCAGCACCUCCUCAGCAAGCCAAACAAGAGUCUGAUGAAUGGGGGCAUGAUCCCCCCUUGUGUUGUUUGAGUUCAUUUAAGCAUACCUCAAGGCUUUCUCAUCGACUUUGGGAGAAAUUGAGUGAUGUUCUAACUGAAGUGGGACAAAUUACUGAACAGGGGGAAAAUGAACCAAUCAACAUAGUCACAGUGAUAUUUCAAACAUGAGCCAUGUAGUUUUUCAUAUCCUUUUUUAAGCAUUUGAAAAAUUCAAGGCUCAAAGCUUUGGUAUUUGAUCAAACUGAAAAAUGUGAUCAACAUUCGCCCAGUUUAAGCUGCCAUGUAGUAAAAUUGGGUCACUAGUGUGGGAAAUUUGUUUGUCUUGAAUCUCAUGUCAUCUACUAUUUAUAGAAGAAUUAAGAAGUCUGAUGGCUGUGGGUACAAAAGAUCUUCUGAUUCUUUCCACCCCGCAGCGAAGAGAGAGGAGCCGUCCACCCCUGUUGUUCUUUUGGUCCAUCAAGGUGUUUUGAAGUGAAUGAUCCAUGUUCUUCAGAAUAGCCUCCACCUUCCUCAGUGUGCGUCUCUCUAACACAUCCUCCAGUGAGUCCAACUUGAUUCCAACCACAGAGAAAGCUUUUUCCACCAGUUUGGCACCAUGUUCAGUCUGUAUCCAGCCAUCAUUUCAUGGUGAACAUUCGAGGAACUUUAGCCGUUGCCUUGGAUGGGAUGUAAACAAGUAUUGUCACAAUACGACUGAACUCUCUUGGAACAUAAUACGGCCAAAGGGCAACCGCCAACAGUUCAAUAUCUUGACAACACAAGUUCUCCUUGACAGCUUCAGUAUGUGUGGAGAGUUACAUCAUCUUUGGUUGACAAAUAAGCCAGACCUCCUCCUUUCUUCUUGCCACAAGCUUUAGCCACUCUGUCUGACCUUAUAAGAGUGAAGCUAGGUAGAUCCACAGUGGAGUCCCAGUUGUUUUGAUUCAACCAGGUUUCAGUAAAAGACAGGAGACUGCACUCACAGUAUGCUUUCUCAGUUGUUACCAAUACCUCAAUCUUGUGGCUUUUGUUGGGCAGGGAAUUGAUGUUUCCCAUGAUAACUGAUGAAAGAAAGGGUUUGUAUCUCCAUUUCCUAGCCUUCAAUUUUACCUUCACCUUUACACCAGCACGGCACCUCAAAAACAGCUCCAGAUGUCUGCUGGAAUCGAAUGUUGUUCUCAAGAUUAUUCCGUCUUAAUGAAACAUCCAUCAGUGGUGGACAAAAUAUCCCAAAAAUAUGAAAAAAUAGAAAAAAAUCAUGCACAAAAUUCAGAGAAACCAGACUUUGCUGCUUCUUGGUUGAGCGCAGGUCCUACAAAGUUGAUUACUCUGUAGUUUCUUUUCCACUGUCCUGUGAUAUCUGCUGAAUUAUUGAUCAUGAUUAUGUAACAGCUACGAAAGGUCAAGUCUGUUUCCUGGCUGCAUUUCUUAUGACCAAGUAGCUGGGACUGAAGACACAGACACCUGCACCAAUCUCCUGUUAUCACGAAUGUCAACCCACGACACAGGAGGAGAACAUGAGAGUGGACCAGAAUGUGUGUCAGUGUAAACAAGAGAGGCGGCAAACAGCCGGCUGAAAAGAUUCAAGUCCAUAAAAGAUUCAUCAUCAACAGCUGAAAUCCACAUUUUCACAUGAAUCUUGUGACAGAUUUACAUAACUGAUAACCACCACAGCAGUGAGAGAGGAGGGGAUAGCUGAUGUCCAGCUGAUAGCACAUAGAGUAAAAGCCAAACUUAAACUGAACUGGCCUGAACUGUUUUCCCUCAUCUCACUAAAUGUCAUGUGGUUUUGCUUUGCUUUUUUCCAGAAAAAACACCUUCAUUUGGUAAUUUGAAAAGAGGAACAAGAAGACACAUGCUAUUCAGUUCGAGGAGUGUGAAUAUUUUUCAGCUCCUGUUCCAAAAACCUUAAGCACCACUUAUGUUUUGGAUAUUUUUACGGAUGAAGCUAGUGGAAAUGUUACAAUAGCCUUCUAAACGGUGGAAGCCAGAGGCUCUGUAUGAGCUCUGCUCUUCAAUGGGUAUGAUUAAGUUUUAAGUGUACUUGACCCUCCUGGUGUAAUGGAAGUGGGAUGGGCUGGUCAGGAAAAGCUCUCGCAGUGCAAUUCUCUCUUCUCCUUAUUCUAGUAAGCAGUCAUGACAACUGACAAGUGGAGGACAAGCACAAAACCGGUCAGACUGCAUCUUGUGCAGGCAGCAAUAAUACAAUACAAAAGUGGUCAGCCUUGUCACUGAUGGUCUUGUUUGCUUGAAUUUCACUAACAUGAACAAAAACUCCUCACAGGCGCUUUACACUGUUGUUAAGAGUUUCAAAAGAUGUUUGUCCCUCAAGUCCAGGGUGGCAUUGAGAUAAGCGUUGAGUGGCUCAGUCAAUGAUUAUGUGGAGUACUUUUGUUUAACUCAGCACAUACAAAUUUAUUGCAGGUGAAAAAAAUUCAAUUGAUCCUUGAUUUUAGAAAAGGUAACCAUAGAGCAACUUUUUUUUGUCCAAACAUCUCUGCCAUCUGACGCUGGCAGGUUUUACUGUCCCCAACUGACACUCGAAUGGCCCCUGAAAGCACUACAACAUCCAGUUUUUAUUGUUCUACACUGGUAAAAAAAAAAAGGGGGGGGGGGGGACAGAAUAAUAUACAGUUGUGAGUGAAAGUCAGAGCACCCCUUUAAAAAAAGCAUAGUUUAUUUCCCAAAAAAUUAACCUUGAUAUUUAUAGUCUCUCUGGUAAAUAGGAAAAAAAGACAAUAUUAACAGAAAUCAUAAAUGCAUAGUUACUUUUUAUUUUAUAAAAAGUACAAAAUUACAAAAAUAAAAAUCAUCUUUUUAGCAUGUGCAAAUGUCAGGGCACCCUGAGAGCUUUAAAGUGUCUGGUCUUUAAAGAUUUUUUUUAGAAGCUCAGGCUGAGUCCGAAAUGGAUCCCUAACCCCUAUAUAGGUGACUACAUGGGGGUUAGCGCCAUUUUGAGGGGUAUCUGAAACCUCAGUGAUCAAUUCCAGUGCCUAAUAUAGGUGACUCAAAAUUUCCCAUAAAGCAUUGCAAAAUGUAGUAACCAUCUGAUGGUCACUCAACGGUGGCGGGCAUCCCAUCAUGCAUUGCGUCAUGCCAUGUAGUGUCCAAAACCUCCGGUAAUUGAGUUCACUACAUAGUCAACUAUAUAGUAAAACCCCAUAUGGGGGUCAGGGGUUAGGGAUUGAGUGAUUCAUUUCGGACACAGCCUCAGACUUUCACCAGCUCGUUAGUCCUAAAGCAGGUGUCAACAAUUUUCAUCAGGGAGCACCAGCUGGUGCCAAUUUAAGGGGUUUCAACUCCACAAACCUUGUGCAUUCAUCCAGCAACCAUGGGUUCCUCUAAGAAGCUGUGUAAGACAGAAAAAAAUGAAAGUUAUUUAUGCCUACAAUGCAGGGGAGGGCUACAAGAAGAUAGCAAAGCCUAAUCCACAGUGUGAGGUAUAAUUAAGAGAUGGCAGGUGAGGGGAACUGUGGAGGUCAAGAUUAGAUCUGGAAGACAAAGUAAAAUCUCAGAGAGAACAGCUCGUUUGCUGGUCAGGAAAGUAAAUCAAAACCCACAUUUGACUUCAAAAGACCUGCAAGAAUAUUUAGCAGACGCAGGAGUGGUGGUGCACCCUUCCACUGUGCGGCGAUGUUUGAACAAACAAGACCUUCAUAGAAGAGUCUGCAGAAGAAAACCUUUCCUGCAUCCUCAUCAUAAAAUACAACGACAAAAAUAUGCAACAGAACAUCUAGAGAAGCCUGAUGACUUGGAAAGAAGUGCUGUGGACUGAUAAAGUUAAAAUAGAACUCUAUGGCCACAAUAAGCAAAGGUAUGUUUGGAGAAAAAAAAGGAACAGCUUUUCAUGAAAAGAACACCUUGCCAACUGUGAAAUAUGGGGGUGGAUCCAUCACGCUUUGGGGUUGUGUUGCAGCCAAUGGGACAGGAAACAUUGCUUGAGUGGAGGGAAGAAUGGAUUCCAUUAAAUACAAGCAAAUUCUGGAGGAAAAUAUCACAGCAUCUGUAAAAAAGCUGAAGCUGAAAGGAGGAUGGACUCAAACUCAGACAUUGACUCAAAGAGGACUUCCUAAAAUUAAAAUUGAUAUGUGUGAAGGUGAUAAAGAAAAGUCUUUCUGAAUCCACAGUUAUUAGCAUUACAAACAUCAAAGCAAAUAUUUUAAGAAACAGCAAAGUUAAACAUGAGCACACUGUUGUAGUUAUUAUUUAAAUUACAUUUUUAUCACAGUUCAUGUUAGAAAAGAGGAGCAGAAGUUCUGCAGGAAUAUUUCAAACCUGCCUGUCAAUCAGUAUUCAUAUUAAACUGAACAUUUUCAUUAAUAAUUCAAUGAAUCUAGGUGAUCGGGUCCUCUGCAAGAACAUGAAAAAAGAAUUUUGUCUCGUAGGAAGUUUUAGACAAUGGACACAACUGUGGCUGUUAUCACUAUUACUCAUGUCUUUGUAAUAUCUGAGAGAAGCACUCACCAGCUUUACUGCAGUUGCCUCGAUUGCAAGACAGGAACCAUUGUUGUGAUAUUUAGCCUAAUAACCUCACAUGCUAAAAGAAACAACUAGUCUUUCAACGAGCUGAAGUAAAAUGUGUCUGAACCCUUUUCUAUGAGUUGAUUUGAAAUGAUAGGGGUAAUUUGAUCUAUCCAUUUUUUUCCAUGGUGUUUUUCUUGUUAGCGGUUAUCAAGGUUUUAAACAAUUAGUGACAAAUCCUGCUGAUAAACAACUUUACCACCCUAUCUUUGUUAAAUACUUUCUUCUUCUUCUUCUUCUUCUUCUUCUUCUUCUUCUUCUUCUUCUUCAGUCUCAAUACCACACAACAAUGGUUUCUUUAUUCUCAGCAACAAAAGCAGCACCAGGGACACCUUACCCCACACCUCACUUACGUCACGUCAAAUCAAUUUGCAGUAAGAAGUCUAGCACAUUUCACCUCUGCCUCUUGAUACCCUGGCAAACAUUCAGUUUCAAUCUCUGAGGAUGUAUAGGAGGGGAUGAAAGUGAUUAUGUGGCUUUGACUGAGAGAGAGUGACCCCCUCUGCUUCAUGUGUGGCUCUAAUUUACGCUGAAAGGGUUCAAAUCCUCACAAGGGCCUGCAUGCUUUACAUUAUCACUCACAUGAUGUUUCAAGGUUGGAGUAUAAUUUACACGUGGCAGCACAUCUAUUGAUAGUACACAAACAAACUGAAUCUGAUUCUUGCAAGAGCUGCACACAGAAAUGACUACAGAUGCUGCAGCUAUAAUGAAAGUCAAAUGUUGAAUUUCUUUUCUGUGUUCCCUCUAUCCGGUCAAAUUUGGAGAUAUGGAUUAACAUCAAAAGCAGACACACUGAGUCACUUAUGAGUAAUGACAAUUUUUUAUUUCAGGUUCAAUCAGCGAGGUCAUCAUUUUCUUUUCCUCUUUGGCUCAGUACUGCCACAAGUUAUUACCCCAGCUCCUCAUUUCAUCACCACAGAACCUGUAGUUCAAUGAGUCCAAGGACACGGGGAAGGAUCUGGCUCCACACUGCAACCAGAUCAAUACGAAGCCAGUUCAGUUCAUUGAGACACAGUCGAGGAGUGAGACGCUCCACCAGGCACAAUGCAGGUUCAAAAUUACGGGCUGGAUAAAUUCACUAAUGCAGAGAAAACGGUAAAUAUAGAGUUAUACAUUAUCUCGAGUAUCUUCAUGUUGUUGCUUAAGCAUUGGUGUAGAAACCAGAGGUAGCGUGAGGGUGUUUUCUUCUUUUCAUUUACAGCAGACGCAACCAAGCAUUGAGACCUCUGGCCAGCUGAAGUAACCCUUUUAACUCGAAGGUGUCAAAGCGUGAAAUCUGUGCAGUUGUGUUAAAAGCAACUGCAGAAAAGUAGAGCUAAAUGUUCCCAUGCUAGAAGGUCUCAUAACGCUGCUAACAGAUGUGACAGCCGUCUCACUUCAUCACUCUGACAACAGCUGAUUAGCACAGUACAGGAAGUGUAGUCCUCAGAGUAUUUUAGUAUACUGGAAUAGCUAAAACUUCUUAUACCUGCUUAUAAAAAAAUAAUGUCCUUAAAAAUAAGGACAUUAACACACUGAAAGCCAUAAAAACGCGGAGACUGUUUUCUCUCCCAUUCUAUUUAACACUAAAGGUGCACAAAUCUCACAUUAGACUUGGAUGCCUCAGGGAUCAUUUCUUUCUUGUAGCCUCAGAAUUACCCAGCAUCCCUCAGGAUGGUCAGUAAAACUCUGCAAUGGAAGAUAUAACUGUGGACAUAUUUGUCUUCGAUUUUAUUGUUCCUGUUUACAUCUGCAUGCACAAUUACUCCAUUCCUCUUUGGACCCAAAAUUGCUCCAUAAAAAUUGGCUUGCUUGGUACAACAUGCAGGAACAGAAUAACACUGUAGUCUUUCUUUUUUAGAAUGUCAGCAUUAGGCCAUUUACUUUGAUGUGAUUGAAAUUAAUUAAAUUAAUUAAAAUGAAUUCUGUUUUGUACCUUUUGGUCAACUGUUAUGGCCAUCACUUAAAGGUCAAGUUAUGGUCAAACACACCGUAAUACCAAGUUAGACACCCCCACAAGAGAUGGAUGUUGCCGACUGCUUGCCUUCUUUAGUUAUACCAACUCUCCACAGCCACUCUAAAGCCACAAAUAAUGUUCAGAACAGCACCUAACUUCAUUAACAGUACAUAUAGGGUCCCAGCCAUAGUACUAGCCAUCAAACAUCUUUUUAGCUUUGCCUGGUUUCUUUAGCAAAGAGACUAAACACAACUUACCCACUCUCCUCCAGCAUCCGCUUGUUUGUGGAGCCCUGACGAGUCGAUCACCGUGUGUAGCAAAGUUUCACAGCUCAAGGAAGAAGAUUUAUGAUUAUUUCCUCAUGGAAAUGCAAU
RNAcentral lists this long non-coding RNA (10034 nucleotides) under Xyrichtys novacula (pearly razorfish). The record is from RNAcentral. Lineage: Eukaryota; Metazoa; Chordata; Actinopteri; Labriformes; Labridae.